AGCGAAAUGAUGAAAUAUAUUAAUCUGAAUUCCAGUGUGGAAUCUGCGUUACAGUAGCCUUCAAAGUUCUCUGAUUGCU
Cornus florida is the source of this 79-nucleotide small nucleolar RNA. RefSeq annotates it as small nucleolar RNA R160. The transcript has a single exon. The record is from RefSeq and is a predicted model, not a curated record. NCBI's taxonomy places the organism in Eukaryota, Viridiplantae, Streptophyta, Magnoliopsida, Cornales, Cornaceae.